RNAcentral lists this ribosomal RNA (497 nucleotides) under uncultured bacterium. RNAcentral's name for it is "partial 16S ribosomal RNA". It matches the Rfam family "Bacterial small subunit ribosomal RNA", at positions 28 to 507 of the family's 1533-position model. The record is from RNAcentral.
GAUGAACGCUGGCGGCGUGCCUAAUACAUGCAAGUCGAGCGAACAGACGAGGAGCUUGCUUCUCUGACGUUAGCGGCGCACGGGUGAGUAACAUGUGGAUAACCUACCUAUAAGACUGGGAUAACUUCGGGAAACUGGAGCUUAUACCGGAUAAUAUAUUGAACCGCAUGGUUCAAUAGUGAAAUACGGUUUUGCUGCUACUUAUAGAUGGAUCCCGGCGGCAUUAGCUAGUUGGUAAGGUAACGGCUUACCAAGGCAACGAUUCGUAGCCGACCUGAGAGGGUGAUCGGCCACACUGGAACUGGGACACGGUCCAGACUCCUACGGGAGGCAGCAGUGGGGAAUCUUCCGCAAUGGGCGAAAGCCUGACGGAGCAACGCCGCGUGAGUGAUGAAGGUCUUCGGAUCGUAAAACUCUGUUAUUAGGAAAGAACAAAUGUGUAAGUAACUAUGCACGUCUUGACGGUACCUAAUCAGAAAGCCACGGCUAACUACGUG